UACGUAGGGGGCAAGCGUUGUCCGGAUUCAUUGGGCGUAAAGAGCGUGUAGGCGGCCAGGUAGGUCGGUUGUGAAAACUCGAGGCUUAACCUUGAGAUGUCAUCGGAAACCAUUUGGCUAGAGUCCGGAAGAGGAAAGUGGAAUUCCUGGUGUAGCGGUGAAAUGCGCAGAUAUCAGGAAGAACACCAAUGGCGAAAGCAGCUUUCUGGGACGGUACUGACGCUGAGACGCGAAAGCGUGGGGAGCGAACAGG
This 253-nucleotide ribosomal RNA is filed under the name uncultured bacterium. RNAcentral's name for it is "partial 16S ribosomal RNA". It matches the Rfam family "Bacterial small subunit ribosomal RNA", at positions 524 to 776 of the family's 1533-position model. The record is from RNAcentral.